GGGCCCGCACAAGCGGUGGAGCAUGUGGUUUAAUUCGAUGAUACGCGAGGAACCUUACCAGGGUUUAAAUGCAGAACGACAGGGGUGGAAACACCCCCUUCUUCGGACGGACUGCAAGGUGCUGCAUGGUUGUCGUCAGCUCGUGCUGUGAAGUGUCGGGUUAAGUCCCAUAACGAGCGCAACCCCCAUUUCUAGUUGCCAGCGGUUCGGCCGGGGACUCUAACAAGACUGCCGGUGCAAACCGUGAGGAAGGUGGGGAUGACGUCAAAUCAUCACGGCCCUUACGUCCUGGGCUACACACGUGCUACAAUGGCCGGUACAGAGAGCAGCCACUACGCGAGUAGGCGCG
Molecule: ribosomal RNA, 349 nt
Filed under: uncultured bacterium
Lineage: Bacteria
Description: bacterial SSU rRNA
Rfam family: Bacterial small subunit ribosomal RNA
Source: RNAcentral